UCCUGGAUAGUACAGUGGUAACGCGGUGGCCUCGCAUUCGCUAGGUCGAGGGAUCGUGCCUCGUCCAGGAA
This is a non-coding RNA of Halocaridina rubra (Hawaiian volcano shrimp), 71 nucleotides long. The record is from the annotation of a GenBank genome assembly. NCBI's taxonomy places the organism in Eukaryota, Metazoa, Arthropoda, Malacostraca, Decapoda, Atyidae.